CUGACAGUCCUGCCCCCCACCCCACACACAGAGUUCCGCUCUUUUCCCCAGGCUGCGAAGUUGGCAGUGGCUUCAGGAAGAAACAACCCAGAGAUGGGGGUCUGACUGGUGGGGACUUUGUGUGUGCUAGCCAAGUGAGGGGCACGAGCAGGGUAGGGUGUGAGAGAGGGCCUAGGGCCCGUCCUUGCCAGGGCCUGCCUCUGCCCUCUCUGAUGGGCCCAGUCCAGCUCCUGUCCACCUGUUUCUGCCCACAGUGCCUGUCUGUGGAGGCUAUCUUGGCCCUGGGUAGGCCUGACAAGCCAGGGCUGGCUCCAGGACCAGUCCUAGAGUCCAGGUACAUAGCCCGCCUCAGUGCCGCUGCAGCUCUCUAUCUUAGCAAUCCAGAGAGGACAUGUGCAGACAUCCAGGCUGGCCGCUGGGCCUCCCAGGCCGACCACUUCCUGGUCCUACUGGAGAGUUCUGAGGCCCUGACCCAGGGCCUAAGUCAGCUGCUGCAGAAGAUCAAGGCCCAGUCUGCUGGCCGGCCUGCUGGGGAAGAGGUGAGGGCCCAUGAGGGCUGGUCAGGAAGUAGGGUAAAGUGGCCAGAACACAGGAAGGGGCCAUUAGGGGGUCAGUCCUGACUAAAGCAGGGGAAACACCCACACAAUGCCCUCCAGGCUCUGGGGGAUCUCAUAGGGGUUUACACUGACUGGGUCAGGGACUGCCAGAGCCAGGAGUCCCAGUGAAGACGGAGUAGGGUGUGGGGUUCCCCAGUGACGGCAGACCAGGAAGGCUCUGGUGCCCCAAGAAGGCCAGAGAGCAGACUGGGGGCCUGGACUAGCUGGGCCAGGGCAGGGCUGGGCUUUGGCCCCAGAAGAACUGAGGCUAGCCAGGUCGUAGGUGAGAAGGAAGAAGUGGUUCCGAAUCCAGGAAGUGCAUCAGUCUGGUGGGUGCAGACCUGUGAAUCAGUGGGAGACAUAUCCAACAGGUAAAGGCAGAGCUGGAGCCAGAAGUUCAUUGAGGGUGGGGCUGAGGCCCAUCCGUCAUAAGUGGUUACUACAGACUCAGUCUGAGGCACAGUUAGAUCCAACCAAAUCUGUUUUAUUAAUGCUCACCACACUUUAGACAUCCUAAUUCUAAGUCCUAACUGAGUCAACGCCAAGGGUCCCAGGUGCUCACCUGUGACAUGUCUUAAGUCUGGGUCGCUGGAACUCAUCCAAGCCAGAGGAGUCUGGUGCAGGGGGAAAAACAGCAACGGAGGCCUCGGUCUCUUUGUCCAGGUCCUGUUGGUCCCGUCGCCCCAUAGAAGUCUGGGUUUUUAAGUCCUAGUUCAGUUGUGCUUGUGGCAGAUGACUGGGUGUAGACGCUUACAUCACUAACUGAAGUCUGUCUCUAAGUGUUGCAGUUCACAGUGCAUCAUGGGCACAUUACUUACAGUCAUAGACUCAUUCACUCAACCCACUAAUUAAUACUAAUUAACAUAAUCAACAAUCAAUAACCCUAUAAUAAUUCUGGUGCUCCUAUCACUAUCCCCUCCCCAGGCCUGUGUAGACGUCCCUCAGCUGCUGGAGGAGGCAGUGGAGGCAGGAGCUCCUCAAAACCCGGGCCCUGUCCUGGCCGCCCUGUUAGACCACUUCAGGAACGGGUCCUGCUUCCAUGCCCUGCCAAGCCCUCAGUACUUUGUGGACUUUGUGUUCCGGCAGCAUAGCAGCGAAGCUCUCAACAUGACAUUGGCGGGUGAGACCUGGGCUGAGACCCCCCAGGCUCCAUGUCCCUGGGAAGGGCGGACCUGGAGCCCAUAGACUGGGCACUACUUCUGUCCUUCCUAACAGAGCUGGAAGCUUUGAUGAAGCGCCUGGGAGUGGGUGGAGAGGCCCACAGUGACCACAACCACAGUGACCAUGAUGACCACAGUCAACUGGAUAGGGAGGCCAACAACCGGGACCCCGUUCCCCUUGCCAUCCUCAACAGCAGCUCCAGUGUGUGGGACACGGUGAGCCACCUGUGCAGUCUUAGGAGGACUGGGGCCCCAUGGGUGCAUGCUCAGCCCCUGACCCCUGUUCUGCACACCUCCCCACAGGUGUGCCUGAGUGCCAGGGAGGUAAUGGCUGUUUAUGGGCUGUCUGAGAAGACUGGGGUGAGCCCCGAAGCCUGGACCAGAUUGAGCCCUGCCCUGCUCCAGCAGCAACUGAGCGGGGCCUGCAGCCCCCAGGCAAAGUCACCCACCCAGGACCAGCUCAGCCAGACAGAGAGUGCGUGCCCAACCCCCCAGCUGGGCCUACCUGGCUGUGCCCCAAGGUGCUGGCCUCAGGAGGGGGGCCCACCUAGGGAAGAGGGAGUGGCUACUGGGAAUGGGGAGGAAUGGAGGUAGGGAGGGAGGCAGGCAAGGAUGGAGGCCUGCAAGGGGGCUCAGGGAGGCUUUGAGAUAGGAGGGCCAGUGUAAGCAAAGGCCUUUGCUGACCACGGGCAGCGCUGGUGAACUCCUGCUCAUCCCCUGGCUGGGCUUGGGAAGCAGGGGGUUCUCAGUGUGGCCUCACCCCCUAGGGUAUCUGUAUGGCUCCCUGGCCACACUGCUCAUCUGCCUCUGUGCUGUGCUUGGCCUCCUGCUGCUGACCUGUGCCAGUUGCAGCUCUGCCACCCACUAUGUCAUGCAGACCUUCCUGAGCAUGGCCGUGGGUGCACUCACUGGUGACGCCCUCCUGCACCUGACACCCAAGGUCUGUCCUCACCCAUCAGCCAGAGUCCUUCCUUUCCCUCCCUCUCCUGGCCUUCCCCAGACCCAGCCUUUCACCCCUGUGGGCCCUAAAUCCCACCCCCCUGCCCACACUCUGCUCCCCAGGUGUUGGGGCUGCACACGCACAGUGGAGAGGACCACACACACAGUGGGGAGGGCCUUGGCCCACAGUCCACCUGGCGUCUACUGGCUGUGCUGGGAGGCCUUUACAUCUUCUUCCUGUUUGAGAGCCUCUUCAACAUCCUGCUGCCCAAGGACCAGGUCAGGCUCGUGGGGACCCAAUGGGUACACAGGAAGGAGACUUGAAAGCCCCUGACCACCUUCCCCACAGGAUCCAGAGAAGGACGGGCACUGCAGCCAUGGUGGCCACAGCCACGGUGUGUCCCUGCAGCUGGCGCCCAGCGAGCUCCGGCAGCCCAAGCAGGCCCACGAGGGCUCUAGCGCAGAGCUGGUGAGUGGGCCACCCCUGCUCCAUGCAGAGCCUGGUUCAGGAGAACCCUCCAUAGUCCCGUGACCUGUCCCCAUGCCAAGGCCUGACCCCUUCUGCACCUCAGCCAGGGCUCCCCCUCGCUCCUCCCAGGUGGCAGAGGAGAGCCCGGAGCUGCUGAACCCCGAGACCCGGAGGCUGAACCCAGGUGAGCUCUGGGGAGGCGCGGAGCACCAGGGCCUGCGGUCCGUGGGCGGGCGGCGGGCGGGAGUAGUCCUGAGAGGACGCAUGCCCAUGGCGCCCGCAGAGCUGAGGCUGCUACCCUACCUGAUCACCCUGGGCGACGCCGUGCACAACUUCGCUGACGGACUGGCCGUGGGCGCGGCCUUCGCGUCCUCCUGGAAGACCGGGCUGGCCACCUCCCUGGCGGUGUUCUGCCACGAGGUGCCUCACGAGCUGGGUGAGCUGCGGGGACAAGGCCUGCUUUGGUGGGCGGGGAUACCGGUCAGGGCGUGGCCUCUGUGGUGGGGGGACCCUGGGAAGUGGGGGGACCCUAGGUGCCGGGCGCACCUCGCCAGGGGGUGAGGCUGGCUACCCGGGGCAGCAGCGGGUCAGUCCUGAAGGUGGGCUGGGCCUGCCCGCCGCGCGGACCUCUGGACGGGACCCUGCCCACAGGGGACUUCGCGGCCCUGCUGCACGCGGGGCUGUCGGUGCGCCGUGCGCUGCUGCUGAACCUGGCCUCGGCUCUCACGGCCUUUGCCGGCCUCUACGUGGCGCUUGCAGUCGGAGUCGGCGAGGAGAGCGAGGCCUGGAUCCUGGCAGUAGCCACAGGCCUCUUCCUCUACGUGGCGCUCUGUGACAUGGUCAGGGGGCAGCCGGGAGCCUGGGGUGGGGAGCUGAGAAGGUGCCUAAGCCGCCCACUAACCCAGUGCCCCCUCCUCAGCUCCCGGCCAUGCUCAAUGUGCGGGACCGCAGGCCCUGGCUCCUCUUCCUGCUGCACCAUGUGGGCCUGCUGGGCGGCUGGACCGUCCUGCUGCUGCUGUCACUGUACGAGGACAAUAUCACCCUUUAAUAAUCCUGCCCCUGUCUACAGCUGUUGACUCUGCCCCUGACCAGGGCUCCUCAUACCUUUGGAUGGGCUCAGCAGCCAGAGAACCCCAGGGCCUCGAGAGUCCCCUUCUCCCUCCCCAGGUUUGGAGCCCCUAUUUCAAUAAAGACAGCCUUAUCCUUGAA
Molecule: long non-coding RNA, 4373 nt
Filed under: Marmota monax (woodchuck)
Lineage: Eukaryota; Metazoa; Chordata; Mammalia; Rodentia; Sciuridae
Source: RNAcentral